UAAGCGGAGGAAAAGAAACUAACAAGGAUUCCCCUAGUAACGGCGAGUGAAGUGGGAAAAGCUCAACUUUGUAAUCUGGCUGUCUUUUGGCAGUCCGAGUUGUAGUCUAGAGAAGUNAUGUCCGCGCAGACCCUUAUAGAUUUCGGUUGGAAUGCCAAGUCAAAGAGGGUGAGAAUCCCGUAUUUGAUAAGGUGGUCUUGUGCAUUGUGAUACGCUUUCAAAGAGUCGAGUUGUUUGGGAAUGCAGCUCAAAGUGGGUGGUAAAUUCCAUCUAAAGCUAAAUAUUGGCGAGAGACCGAUAGCGAACAAGUACCGUGAGGGAAAGAUGAAAAGCACUUUGGAAAGAGAAUGAAAUAGUACAUGAAAUUGCUGAAAGGGAAACGAUUGAAGUUAGACAUGCGCUUUGGGUAUUCAACCUUGGCUUCGGUCUUGGUGCAUUUGCCUAAUUUUGCAGGCCAACAUCAGUUAUCUUUGCUGUAAAAGGGUUUUGGGAAUGUGGCUCUUUCGGGAGUGUUAUAGCCCUUUGCUGGAUGCAGAAUCGAUGACUGAGGAACGCAGUGCGCCUUUAUUGGCAAGGCUUUCGGGCUUCGAGCACUUAGGAUGUUGGUAGAAUAGCUUUAAACGACCCGUCUUGAAACACG
RNAcentral lists this ribosomal RNA (640 nucleotides) under Kondoa miscanthi. RNAcentral describes it as "eukaryotic LSU rRNA". It matches the Rfam family "Eukaryotic large subunit ribosomal RNA", at positions 47 to 663 of the family's 3401-position model. Lineage: Eukaryota; Fungi; Basidiomycota; Agaricostilbomycetes; Agaricostilbales; Kondoaceae. The record is from RNAcentral.